CGCCGCGGUUAUACGAGAGACUCAAGUUGACGACACCGGCAUAAAGAGUGGUUAGGGAACCCACACCUACUAAAGUCAAACUCCUUCAAGACUGUUAUACGUUUCCGAAAAGAAGAGGCCCUUCCACGAAAGUGACUUUACCACACCUGACCCCACGAAAGCUGCGAAA
This 169-nucleotide ribosomal RNA is filed under the name Dicrossus filamentosus (checkerboard dwarf cichlid). RNAcentral describes it as "partial 12S rRNA". Lineage: Eukaryota; Metazoa; Chordata; Actinopteri; Cichliformes; Cichlidae. The record is from RNAcentral.